Molecule: ribosomal RNA, 1540 nt
Filed under: Klebsiella pneumoniae
Lineage: Bacteria; Pseudomonadati; Pseudomonadota; Gammaproteobacteria; Enterobacterales; Enterobacteriaceae
Description: 16S ribosomal RNA
Rfam family: Bacterial small subunit ribosomal RNA
Source: RNAcentral
AAAUUGAAGAGUUUGAUCAUGGCUCAGAUUGAACGCUGGCGGCAGGCCUAACACAUGCAAGUCGAGCGGUAACACAGAGAGCUUGCUCUCGGGUGACGAGCGGCGGACGGGUGAGUAAUGUCUGGGAAACUGCCUGAUGGAGGGGGAUAACUACUGGAAACGGUAGCUAAUACCGCAUAACGUCGCAAGACCAAAGUGGGGGACCUUCGGGCCUCAUGCCAUCAGAUGUGCCCAGAUGGGAUUAGCUAGUAGGUGGGGUAACGGCUCACCUAGGCGACGAUCCCUAGCUGGUCUGAGAGGAUGACCAGCCACACUGGAACUGAGACACGGUCCAGACUCCUACGGGAGGCAGCAGUGGGGAAUAUUGCACAAUGGGCGCAAGCCUGAUGCAGCCAUGCCGCGUGUGUGAAGAAGGCCUUCGGGUUGUAAAGCACUUUCAGCGGGGAGGAAGGCGUUAAGGUUAAUAACCUUGGCGAUUGACGUUACCCGCAGAAGAAGCACCGGCUAACUCCGUGCCAGCAGCCGCGGUAAUACGGAGGGUGCAAGCGUUAAUCGGAAUUACUGGGUGUAAAGCGCACGCAGGCGGUCUGUCAAGUCGGAUGUGAAAUCCCCGGGCUCAACCUGGGAACUGCAUUCGAAACUGGCAGGCUAGAGUCUUGUAGAGGGGGGUAGAAUUCCAGGUGUAGCGGUGAAAUGCGUAGAGAUCUGGAGGAAUACCGGUGGCGAAGGCGGCCCCCUGGACAAAGACUGACGCUCAGGUGCGAAAGCGUGGGGAGCAAACAGGAUUAGAUACCCUGGUAGUCCACGCCGUAAACGAUGUCGAUUUGGAGGUUGUGCCCUUGAGGCGUGGCUUCCGGAGCUAACGCGUUAAAUCGACCGCCUGGGGAGUACGGCCGCAAGGUUAAAACUCAAAUGAAUUGACGGGGGCCCGCACAAGCGGUGGAGCAUGUGGUUUAAUUCGAUGCAACGCGAAGAACCUUACCUGGUCUUGACAUCCACAGAACUUUCCAGAGAUGGAUUGGUGCCUUCGGGAACUGUGAGACAGGUGCUGCAUGGCUGUCGUCAGCUCGUGUUGUGAAAUGUUGGGUUAAGUCCCGCAACGAGCGCAACCCUUAUCCUUUGUUGCCAGCGGUUAGGCCGGGAACUCAAAGGAGACUGCCAGUGAUAAACUGGAGGAAGGUGGGGAUGACGUCAAGUCAUCAUGGCCCUUACGACCAGGGCUACACACGUGCUACAAUGGCAUAUACAAAGAGAAGCGACCUCGCGAGAGCAAGCGGACCUCAUAAAGUAUGUCGUAGUCCGGAUUGGAGUCUGCAACUCGACUCCAUGAAGUCGGAAUCGCUAGUAAUCGUAGAUCAGAAUGCUACGGUGAAUACGUUCCCUGGCCUUGUACACACCGCCCGUCACACCAUGGGAGUGGGUUGCAAAAGAAGUAGGUAGCUUAACCUUCGGGAGGGCGCUUACCACUUUGUGAUUCAUGACUGGGGUGAAGUCGUAACAAGGUAACCGUAGGGGAACCUGCGGUUGGAUCACCUCCUUA